Molecule: unclassified non-coding RNA, 209 nt
Filed under: uncultured Leucoagaricus
Lineage: Eukaryota; Fungi; Basidiomycota; Agaricomycetes; Agaricales; Agaricaceae
Description: sequence contains ITS2
Source: RNAcentral
ACUUCUCAAGCCCUCCAUGUUUUUUGUGAACUUGGUCUGGGACUUUGGAUGUGGAGGUUUCUGCAGGCCUUUUGUUAGGUCUGCUCCUCUGAAAUGCAUUAGCGGAACUGUUUGUGAUCCGUCAGAGGUGUGAUAAUUAUCUACGCCAGUGGGUCGCUCUCUGUCUUGUUCAGCUUAUAACCGUCCCUAUGUGGACAACAUCACUGAAU